GUAGUCUGCAACCCGACUACAUGAAGCCGGAAUCGCUAGUAAUCGCGGAUCAGAAUGCCGCGGUGAAUACGUUCCCGGGUCUUGUACACACCGCCCGUCACACCAUGGGAGUCGGAAAUGCCCGAAGCCGGUGACCCAACCCGAAAGGGAGGGAGCCGUCGAAGGCAGGUCGGAUGACUGGGGUGAAGUCGUAACAAGGUAAC
Molecule: ribosomal RNA, 203 nt
Filed under: uncultured bacterium
Lineage: Bacteria
Description: partial 16S ribosomal RNA
Rfam family: Bacterial small subunit ribosomal RNA
Source: RNAcentral